RNAcentral lists this ribosomal RNA (446 nucleotides) under uncultured bacterium. RNAcentral describes it as "partial 16S ribosomal RNA". It matches the Rfam family "Bacterial small subunit ribosomal RNA", at positions 29 to 523 of the family's 1533-position model. The record is from RNAcentral.
AACGAACGCUGGCGGCAGGCUUAACACAUGCAAGUCGAGCGCCUCGCAAGAGGAGCGGCAGACGGGUGAGUAACACGUGGGAACAUACCCUUUACUACGGAACAACUCCGGGAAACUGGAGCUAAUACCGUAUGUGCCCUUUGGGGGAAAGAUUUAUCGGUAAAGGAUUGGCCCGCGUUGGAUUAGCUAGUUGGUGGGGUAAAGGCCUACCAAGGCGACGAUCCAUAGCUGGUCUGAGAGGAUGAUCAGCCACAUUGGGACUGAGACACGGCCCAAACUCCUACGGGAGGCAGCAGUGGGGAAUAUUGGACAAUGGGCGCAAGCCUGAUCCAGCCAUGCCGCGUGAGUGAUGAAGGCCUUGGGUUGUAAAGCUCUUUCACCGAUGAAGAUAAUGACGGUAGUCGGAGAAGAAGCCCCGGCUAACUUCGUGCCAGUCGCCGCCGUAA